GAUGAACGCUGGCGGCGUGCCUAAUACAUGCAAGUCGAGCGAACGGAUGAGAAGCUUGCUUCUCUGAUGUUAGCGGCGGACGGGUGAGUAACACGUGGAUAACCUACCUAUAAGACUGGGAUAACUUCGGGAAACCGGAGCUAAUACCGGAUAAUAUUUUGAACCGCAUGGUUCAAAAGUGAAAGACGGUCUUGCUGUCACUUAUAGAUGGAUCCGCGCUGCAUUAGCUAGUUGGUAAGGUAACGGCUUACCAAGGCAACGAUGCAUAGCCGACCUGAGAGGGUGAUCGGCCACACUGGAACUGAGACGCGGUCCAGACUCCUACGGGAGGCAGCAGUAGGGAAUCUUCCGCAAUGGGCGAAAGCCUGACGGAGCAACGCCGAGUGAGUGAUGAAGGUCUUCGGAUCGUAAAACUCUGUUAUUAGGGAAGAACAUAUGUGUAAGUAACUGUGCACAUCUUGACGGUACCUAAUCAGAAAGCCACGGCUAACUACGUG
This 497-nucleotide ribosomal RNA is filed under the name uncultured bacterium. RNAcentral's name for it is "partial 16S ribosomal RNA". It matches the Rfam family "Bacterial small subunit ribosomal RNA", at positions 28 to 507 of the family's 1533-position model. The record is from RNAcentral.